This is a ribosomal RNA of 127 nucleotides. It matches the Rfam family "Bacterial large subunit ribosomal RNA", at positions 2802 to 2925 of the family's 2925-position model.
AGAUGAGAUUUCCCUUGGAGUUAAUCCAGUAAGACCCCUUAAAGAUGAUGAGGUUGAUAGGUCUCGGGUGGAAGCACGGCGACGUGUGGAGCUGAGAGAUACUAAUCGGUCGAGGACUUAUCCUAAA